UGAGUAACCUGCCUCAAAGAGGGGAAUAGCCUCCCGAAAGGGAGAUUAAUACCGCAUAAUAUGUUUAAGUCGCAUGACUUUAACAUCAAAGGAUUUUCUUUUAGAACUUCCACUUUGAGAUGGACCCGCGGCGCAUUAGCUAGUUGGUGAGGUAACGGCUCACCAAGGCAACGAUGCGUAGCCGACCUGAGAGGGUGAUCGGCCACAUUGGAACUGAGACACGGUCCAGACCUCUACGGGAGG
Molecule: ribosomal RNA, 243 nt
Filed under: uncultured bacterium
Lineage: Bacteria
Description: partial 16S ribosomal RNA
Rfam family: Bacterial small subunit ribosomal RNA
Source: RNAcentral